AGAGUUUGAUUCUGGCUCAGAUUGAACGCUGGCGGCGUGCUUAACACAUGCAAGUCGAACGCGAAAGGGGGCUUCGGCUCCCGAGUAGAGUGGCGCACGGGUGAGUAACGCGUGGAUAAUCUGCCCUCUUGUUCGGGAUAACUGCUGGAAACGGCAGCUAAUACCGGAUAAGCUCCCCCAAUUGUUUGGUGGAGGAAAGGAGGCCUCUUCAUGAAAGCUUCCUCGAGGGGAUGAGUCCGCGUCCCAUUAGCUAUUUGGUGAGGUAACGGCCCACCAAGGCAGCGAUGGGUAGCCGGUCUAAGAAGAUAACCGGCCACACUGGACUGGUAACACGGUCCAGACUCAUUCGGUAGGCAGCAGUGGGGAAUAUUGCGCAAUGGACGAAAGUCUGACGCAAGCGACGCCGCGUGAGGGAUGAAAGAUUUUCGGAUCGUAAACCUCUGUCAGGAGGGAAGAAAGCGCAUGGCGCCACUCAGCCAUGCGUUGGCGGUACCUCCAAAGGAAGCGCCGGCUAAUUCCGUGCCAGCAGCCGCGGUAAUACGGAGGGCGCGAGCGUUAAUCGGAAUUACUGGGCGUAAAGCGCGCGUAGGCUGUUGUAUAAGUUGGGGGUGAAAUCCCACGGCUCAACCGUGGAACAGCCCUUGAUACUGCGCGACUUGAAUCCGGGAGAGGGUGGCGGAAUUCCAGGUGUAGGAGUGAAAUCCGUAGAUAUCUGGAGGAACAUCAGUGGCGAAGGCGGCCACCUGGACCGGUAUUGACGCUGAGGCGCGAAAGCGUGGGGAGCAAACAGGAUUAGAUACCCUGGUAGUCCACGCUG
RNAcentral lists this ribosomal RNA (817 nucleotides) under uncultured bacterium. RNAcentral describes it as "bacterial SSU rRNA". It matches the Rfam family "Bacterial small subunit ribosomal RNA", at positions 8 to 802 of the family's 1533-position model. The record is from RNAcentral.